Small nuclear RNA from Cricetulus griseus (Chinese hamster), 108 nucleotides. NCBI's taxonomy places the organism in Eukaryota, Metazoa, Chordata, Mammalia, Rodentia, Cricetidae. The record is from Ensembl.
GUGUUCACUUCAGCAACACAUAUGCUAAGACUGGAAAAAUAUAUAGAAUAUUAGCAUGUUCCCUAUGCAAGGGAUAACAUGAAAAUUUGUGAAGGAUUCCAUAUAUAA